GUACUCUCUUCUGCAGUGCAUAUACAAAAUUUGGAACAUACAGAGAUUAGCAUGGCCCCUGUGCAAGGAUGAUCGGAUGGUUUGGAUGUUUUGUCCCUUCCA
This 102-nucleotide small nuclear RNA is filed under the name Callithrix jacchus (white-tufted-ear marmoset). Lineage: Eukaryota; Metazoa; Chordata; Mammalia; Primates; Cebidae. The record is from RNAcentral.